This 4222-nucleotide long non-coding RNA is filed under the name Sus scrofa (pig). Its description in RNAcentral is "lncRNA (ENSSSCG00030021599.1)". Lineage: Eukaryota; Metazoa; Chordata; Mammalia; Artiodactyla; Suidae. The record is from RNAcentral.
GAAAAACUAAUUUAACAAGGUCAAAAUGUUUGAACACACUGUUAUUAAGGAGAUAUUGAGUAAACAGUUUUCAUAUCUGUGCUAAUAUCAGCCUGAAAUUUUAUAAUGUUUCCAAAAGAUAUUUAUCCAUAACUCAAAAGCAGGCAUUUCUCUGGGUGUGUGUCGAUUUUAUUAUUUUGUAUUGAAGUACAGUUGAUUUAUAGUGUCAUAUUCAUUUCAGAUAUACAUCAGUGAUUCACCAUAAGUGUAUGUUUUUUUCUUUUUUCCUUCUUACAGCUGCACCUGAGAUAUACAGAAGUUCCCAGGCUAAGGAUCGAAUCAAAGCUGUAGCUGAGGCCUAAGCCACAGCCAUAGCAAUAUCAGAUCUGAGCCACAUCUGUGACCUACACCACAGCUUGUGGAAAUACUGGGUCCUUGGCCCACUGAGCAAGGACAGGGAUCAAAUAUGCAUCCUCACCGACACCAUGUUGAAUCUUAACCUGUUGAGCCACAAUGGGAACUCCCACUGUAUGUGUUUUAAACAGACUUUUAUUCAUUAAAAAUAUGAAAACGUCACCUACUUUUGUAACAUUGUCUGAGAAAUCUAAAGGCAAAAUUUCUUAUAUUGUCCAUUUCAUCUUUUCAUUCAUUUGACAAAUUUCCCCCAAUCUUAUUUACCACUGCCUAGCAUCUACGUAGCACAGAAUUAUUUAAGAAUUUUCUACCUUCAAAUAAUGUUCUUCUAUCAGCAAUAAUGAAAAUUUUAUAGAGCAUUAAAAAUGAGCACAGAGGUUCUAUUAAUAUUAAGAUGAAGGUGCUUGCUUUAUAGCUAGAAUUUAAGAAAAAUGUAAACCACAUUAUACUCCAUAAUUGCUCUGCUAAAGAAUUUGCUCUUUGUGGGCCAUUUAGAUUAUGCAGACUUGAAGAGAAUGUGGUUACACUUGACUCAACUUAAAUCUCUACUUACUAGUGUUGGUAUCUCUAUGUCAUUCUGGUAACUGGGCUUGAAUAUAUCAUUAACUCAGUACAAACAAAGAACUAAAAGCCAUCUAGAGUUCAAAUUCAGUUCAACAAGUUUACUCUUACUUACCAAGGCAGAGUAACAAGAGAAAUGCAAAUAUGAUUGAUACCAUCCCAGCCUUCCACACUUUGGGGGCAGAAAAUAGUCUUCUCAGAGGAUGUAUGCGGGGCGGGGGGAAGUGAGAAACGAAGUUGGGAAGUUCUGCUGGACUCUAGUUUUGGGAUAGUUUGGACAAAAUAAACAUUUUGAAAAGAGGGGUGAAUGAUUGGGGCUGGAAUUGAUGAUAAUCAGUAGGGUUGCGGUGCAUGGGAUGGAUGGAACCAGACUAGAGACUCGAGGUGGCUAAUAAGGAAGAGUGUGCAAAGAGGCAGAGUGGCAGCACCUGAGAUGCAGUGUCAGACUAGGAGGGUGGAGAGACAUAAUGAGAAGGAGAAUCCACGUGCCUUCUGACGGAUGGUGUGUGUGUCACCGACAUAAGGAAGAUGAAGAGAGGGAAUGUUUAAUGACCCCCUCCUGUGCCAGACAAUCCGGGUUCAUCAUAAAGGCUGUAUUAAUUAAUUCUCAGAACAACCUGAGAGGUUAUGCCCAUUUGCCAAAAGCAGAAAGAAAGGUUAUGUAAUUUGUAUAAUAUUCUCUAGAGCUGGGAUUCAAAUGCAAAUGGACAUUAUCCUUCCUUCACUUCUUUCUAAUUUCUUUUGUUUCUCUCUUUCUCUCUCUUUCUUUCUUUUUGCUUCCUUUUCCUUCCUUCCUUUCUUCCCCCCCUCCCCCUCCCUCCCUUCUUUCCUUCCUUUCUUCCUUCACUUCUUUCUACUUUCCUUCCUUCCUUCCUUUCUCUCUCUCUCUUUCUUCCUUUCUCUCUCUCUCUUUCUUUCUUUCUUUCUUUCUUUCUCUUUCCUUCCUUCCUUCUUUCCUUCCUUCCUUCCUUCCUUCCUUCUUUCCUUCUUUCUUUCUUUCUUUUUUCUUUCUUUCUUUCUUUCUUUCUUUCUUUCUUUCUUUCUUCUUUCUUUCUUUCUUUCUUUCUUUCUUUCUUUCUUUCUUUCUUUCUUUCUUUCUUUCUUCUUUUCCCUCCUUCUGCCCUUCCUUUCUUCCUCUCUCUCUCUUUCUUUCGUUUUCUUCUAUUUAUUGAGUGAGUGCUCUCUGUCAGGCAUUCUAGAAGAUGCCAGGGGCAUAACAGUGAACAAAAGAAACAUGAGUUCUGCUCUCAAGGAACUCUUAGCCUAGUAAGAGAAGUAUACAUUUAACUUAAAUACCUACCUGGGGUAGUCUUAAAAAUAUCCAAAAAACCCCUCAAAAUGUACAGCUUACCUUUCCACCUCUUUAGUGUAGGGUGGACUUAAAGACUUGCGUGUAAGAAACAGAAGAAAGCAGAAAUGGCAAAAUGUGACCUCUAAGCCUAGGUCCUAAAGACAUAGGGCUUCCUUCACAUCUGCUCUCUUAGAUCACUUACCCUGGGUGAGCCGGCUGCUGUGUUCUGAAGAGGCUCCAGCAGGCCUCUGAGGAGGCCCAUAUAGUAAGGAACUGUGGCCACAGGAAUGAACUUUGCAGCAGGUCUUCCAGUCCAAGGCUGCAGCCUGGCCAAUGUCUUGACUGCAGCCUCCUGACCGACUCUGAGCCAGAACGGCUUAUCAAGAUGCUCCUGUUCCUGAUUCAGAAACUUUGAGAUAGUAAAGGUUGUUUUAAGCCAGGAAAUGUUGGGGGGAUUUGUUAUGCAGCAAUAGAUUAAAACAUACAACAAAUAAAAAAGGUAAGUACCAAACAAAAAAGAAAUAUAGUCUAGGAGUUCAUAUAAGAAAGAAUCUGCGAUGAGGAGUUAAAAAUGUUUUCCUUAAAGUAGUGACUACUGAGCUAAGUUCUGAUGGAUGACUUAGAGCUAAAGAGACAAAGAAGGCAAGAGGAAGAAAGUGUCUCAACAAAGCGAAGUGUAUACAAAGGCCCUGUGACUUGUUCAAAGUCUUGGAUGGGGGCCAGGGGUGGCUGAGCAUGAAGAGAUAUGGGGAGUGUGGUUGCAGAAUGAAGCAGGACUUUGAAGAUCCUAUCAAGAGUUAUGGCCUUGGAAAACUGGACAGCUGCAUGUAAAUUAAUGAAACUAGAAUGCACCCUCACACCAUGCACAAAAAUAAACUCAAAAUGGCUUAGAGAGAUAAACAUAAGACAAGACACUAUAAAACUCCUAGAAGAGAACACAUGCUCUGGCAUCAACCAUACAAUCGUGUUCUUAAGUCAGUCUCCCAAGGCAGUAGAAAUAAUAACAAAAGUAAACCGAUGGGACCUAAUCAAACUUAAAAGAUUUUGCACAGAAAAGAAAACCAUAAAAAAAAAAAAAGGCAAUGUACGGAAUGGAAGAAAAUGGUUGCAAAUGAUGCAACUGAUAAGGGCUUAAUCUCCAAAAUACACAAAAAAACACAUACAACUCAAUGGCAAAACAAAAAACAAAUGAAACAAAACAAAAAACCCAAUUGAAAAAUGGGCAGAAGACCUAAACAGACAUUUCUCUAAAGAAGACAUACAGAUGGCCAACAGACACAUGAAAAAAUGCUCAACAUCACUAAUUAUUAAAGAUAUGCAAAUCAAAACUACGAGGUACCACCUCAUACCAGUCAGAAUGGCCAUCAAUAAUAAGUCUACAAAUAGCAAAUGCUGGAGAGGGUGUGGAGAAAAGGGAACCUUCCUGCACUGUUGGUGGGAAUGUAAACUGGUACAGCUGCUAUGGAAAAUGGCAUGGAGGUACCCCCAAAACUAAAUAUAGAACUACCAUAUGACCUAGCAAUCCCACUCCUGGGCAUACAUCCAGACAAAACUUUCAUUGCAAAAGAUAUAUGCACCCCUAUGUUCACUGCAGCACUAUUCACAAUGGCCAAGACAUGGAAACAACUAAAUGUCCAUUGACAGAUGAAUGGAUUAGGAAGAUGUGGUACGUAUACACAAUGGAAUACUACUUGGUCAUAAAAACAACAAAAGAGGAGUUCCCGUCAUGGCUCAGUUGUUAAUGAAUUCUACUAGGAACAUGAGGUUUCGGGUUCGAGCCUCGCUCAGUGGGUUAAGGAUCCGGCAUUGCCGUGAGCUGUGGUGUAGGUUGCAGACGUGGCUCGGAUCCCGUGUUGCUGUGGCUCUGGUGUAGGCCGGCCACUACAGCUCAGAUUCGACCCCUAGCCUGGGGACCUCCAUGUGCCGCUGGAGCGGCCCAAGAAAUGGCAAAAAGACACAAAAAAUAAAAAUAAAAAA